This 486-nucleotide ribosomal RNA is filed under the name uncultured bacterium. Its description in RNAcentral is "partial 16S ribosomal RNA". It matches the Rfam family "Bacterial small subunit ribosomal RNA", at positions 38 to 507 of the family's 1533-position model. The record is from RNAcentral.
AAGGAAAGAGGGAGGAAUGAUUUACACAUGCAAGUCGAACGGCAGCACGGGUGCUUGCACCUGGUGGCGAGUGGCGAACGGGUGAGUAAUACAUCGGCACAUGUCCUGUAGUGGGGGAAAGCCCGGCGAAAGCCGGAUUAAUACCGCAAACGAUCUACGGAUGAAAGCGGGGGACUUUCAGGCCUCGCGCUAUAGGGUUGGCCGAUGGCUGAUUAGCUAGUUGUUGGGGUAAAGGCCUACCAAGGCGACGACAAGUAGCUGGUCUGAGAGGAUGACCAGCCACACUGGGACUGAGACACGGCCCAGACUCCUACGGGAGGCAGCAGUGGGGAAUUUUGGACAAGGGGCGAAAGCCUGAUCCAGCAAUGCCGCGUGUGGGAAGAAGGCCUUCGGGUUGUAAAGCACUUUUGUCCGGAAAGAAAUCCUUGGCCCUAAUACGGUCGGGGGAUGACGGUACCGGAAGAAUAAGCACCGGCUAACUACGUG